Molecule: non-coding RNA, 3077 nt
Organism: Cyanistes caeruleus (blue tit)
Lineage: Eukaryota; Metazoa; Chordata; Aves; Passeriformes; Paridae
Source: RefSeq, a predicted model, not a curated record
UUAGCCAAAGGCAAGAUUCCCUUCUGUUAAUUUCCCGUCUGGCAAAAGCACGCUGGGCACCAAGCCAGCUUCAGGAACAAAGGACAAGAAGAGUUCACCUUUGGCUAGGCUAGCUAUACAGACAGGAGGUCUUGGUUUGUUGGUUAAAGGAAGAGACCAAGCUUUCCAUCUGGGAGGCCUCCACUAGCUCAAAUACCUACUGGUAAUGCAAACAACGUGGCAAAGCCUUCAACUGUGAUGUUAAGCACAUUUGGAUCAUGUCCCACAGGAGUCUGGUCUUCACUGACACUCUUGAAGAUUAGAGGCUGGAGCAGGGAGAGGCAGGACAAAUUAAUUUAACUUCAAAGAAAGGAACACUAGAGGUGCUGAGGAAGAGUGGGACUUCAGAUAUCCAGAAAAGCAGCACAGUGCUGGAAGUGCUGCUCACUUACCCCUCAUUCCCAAAGAAUGAGGCAAUCUGCAGGGGCCACAAGUCCCAGCCAGUAGCCCAAAGAAGAGCUCUCUGGCUCAUGAUGUCUGCAGUGGGAUAUGUGGUUUCUGCAGGCCAUAUCUCUGCAUUAAUGAGAACACCCCUUCAGGCAAGCUUACUGCUGACACCACAGCUCCUGGGAUGUUCUUGGUGUUGUCAUGGAUGGAGGCCUCCACAGGGGCCGAAGAAAAUUAUGUUCCUCAGAGAACUCCAGUGAGCAACCACAGCUUCCGAGCCUCUCCCUACAGCCCUCUUCGCAACACCAGCCUGUGCUUAUAAUUACACCAACAUCACUUUUGAUUUAAGGACUGUAAUCCUUUGUCCUCGCUAUAAACAACCUGCAUUAAACACAUGAACUGCGUGUACCAAGAGAAAAAUAAAGAGCUACAGAAAAUUGUGAGUCAACACCACAAAGCCACAGUACCAGAGCCUGCCUAUGCAGAGAGAAGCCUGGGAUACAUAGGCUCUGCUGGAAUGCACUAGGUCUGGAAGGAAUGGAAUACAGGGCACUGACCUGCUCUGUUUCCCCCUGAAGGAGGAGGACGUUGCUCCAGAGUUGAGUUGUGCAGUUCAAAAAGAACAGAACAGAGCUCCCACAACACCUUCACAGCAAGGGCUGGGACUGAGCAUCACCACCUGGCAGGUAGAGACUGUCAUGGGGAUCUGCACUAGGAAUGGAAGAGGUCUAUAGCAUCUACAGAUUCUCACGGCCCUUGAGUAAUUGUGUGGGUGUGGUCAUCUUAAAGGUCCCGCUCUCAAUUCAUCACUUUCUUCAUAAAUGCUCCUUUUCUGAUGCUCCAAACUUCCCACUCCUCCCCAAAAAAUCUUCUUUUGUGCUGAAGCCUUUUGUUUGGUCUGUUACCAAAAUACAAGGUUUUUUAAUUAAUCAGUGGUUAUUUGAAUAUUUCAUGUAUGUGGUGAUGCCACACUUCAUUUUUAUUCAAUUUUAAGGUAAGCUUCUCCUUAAAAUCAGCCUUCCCCAACCCUAAACAACGUAACUGUCCUAAAAACAUUCAUCCUAAAAUCUCCACACAUCUGACCUGUGUCUGUACAGCUGUAAACUGUGGUUUUAUGCACCAGCACCAGUAUUGUUCAGCAUUAUUAUAUAGCUCACUGACAUUGAAAACCACCUUCCUUGUAGAUUUCAGCAGCAAGAAAACUUUCUCAUUAGGCACUUUCUUCUUGGAGAUCUUUAGAGUACUGAAUAGUUUAGUGGAUUUCCAGGAAAGAGCGCUGAAGUUUCAGAUGAAUAAUGUUUUCUGCAUUUUCUGCCUGAAGGUCAAACAUUCCUGGGCUGCAUGGCUUUACUCUGCAGGAGCAGAGAGCCUCCACUCCUAUACAAUUUUAACACUCAACAAAGGGAAGAACCAUAUCAAGUACUUAAGUCUUAGAGUUCUAGAAUCUGAAAAACCUCAGCUGAAAAAUUCAGUUUAAGAUAUGAACUUGCACAUUUCUGAAAUUCUGAAGUGCUUCACUGCAUGGAACUGAAGUGCUGCGGUGGAAGGUGGACAGGCAAGUGCAAUGAAUAUAUGCAAAAAGUAGAAAAGGGUGAAAUUGCACAGCUAUUCUCUGUCUCAAUGAACAUAUAUGCUUCUCUCUGCCCCAACUUAUAGCUAUGGACUCUGUCUUCUGUCUAUGCCUGCUGAUCUGCCACAGUAAGAUUUUGCACAGGUCAAAAUAAGGAGUAAUACCACUAUGCCAUCUCUCCUAUGUUCUGUUGCACAUUAAACACACAGCCAUCUCUCUGGAGCAGUACAUGACCAUCAACUUGCUCCAUCAGUGAGGCUUAAUGACAAAUAAACAAAUCUUUUAAAAAGAAAACAUUUCUAAAGUAACUUAUGUAAAUGUCUAUUUAAGGGGUUUUUGGGCUGUGGCUAGACAUACCUCAGAAAUUCCCAAAUCAGUUGUGCAAAACUGUAAAAUUUAUACUUGUAUCCUCCUUGUAAAUUAAACCAGUUUUACAGGAAUAUACCUAGUGAAGGCUUUGUCAAGAUGAGGGAGGCCAACAGAUACCAGAGAAGCACAACACACCUAGGCAUAUAUGGCAGAGAAGCAGCUCACUGAUCCUGCUAUGACCAGAAACAAGACACCUGAGAAAAAAAGAGGAACUCACACUUUGCUAAGAUUUCCUGCCAUUUUGAAGAUGGACAUUCUCUGGCAAGCGAAGUAUCAUUGGCCACUUACCAAUCCUGAGAUUCCUUGUCCUUAAAUACCUUUUGCUUUCAAAAUAGUGCAAGCCUAUAAAACAAUUGCAAAAGGACUACAGAAAGUGUUUCUGUAGGAAAAAAAUAAAAAAUACAUGGUGCAGAAGAAAAAACUGCACAGGACAUUUUUACUGGGGGUAUUUUAUGCUAAAAGCACAUUACCAGAAUGACACUACAGUAGUUUGCUUUAAGCAGAUCUGCAGAUUCCCAGAUAGUCCUGCCCCUGUCUCUCACUACAGGCAUGGAGACCAAGAUGAGACCUAUAGAGGUGGCUGCAGAAAAUGGAAAUGGCUGCACCCUCUGAGCUGCAUCUGACAAACAAAUCAAGAACUCAGCAAUGUAUGCUGUGAUUACAGGGAGGGGGCCCUAAGGUCACAGGAGGGGGGAAUUCCAAGGGCACUCUA